RNAcentral lists this ribosomal RNA (526 nucleotides) under Dichorragia nesimachus. Its description in RNAcentral is "partial 12S ribosomal RNA". Lineage: Eukaryota; Metazoa; Arthropoda; Insecta; Lepidoptera; Nymphalidae. The record is from RNAcentral.
UUUGACAAAAAUCGUGCCAGCAGUUGCGGUUAAACAAAAGUUAAAUUAAAUUAUUUCAGUAUAUAAUAAAUAUAUAAUAAAUUAAAGUAAAUAAUAAAUUAUUAGGUAAAAUUUUAAUUUAUUUAAAUUUUAUAAAUUAAUUAUGAUUUAAUAAAUUUAUUAAUAAACUAGGAUUAGAUACCCUAUUAUUAAAAUUUAAUUGAUAAUACUAAAAUAGUAAAUAAUAAUUUAUUGAAACUUAAGUAAAAUGGCGGUAUUUUAGUUCAUUUAGAGGAAUCUGUUUAUUAAUUGAUAAUCCACGAAUAAAUUUACUUAAUUUAAAAUUUUGUAUAUCAUUGUUAAAAAAAUAUUUUUUAAUAAAAAUAAUAUUUAAAAAUUUAUAAUAAAAAUUAAUUCAGAUCAAGAUGCAGAUUAUAAUUAAGAUUAUAAUGGAUUACAAUAAAUAUAUUUAAAUGAAUAAUAUUUUGUAAUAUUUAUUUGAAGGUGGAUUUAAAUGUAAUUUUAAUUAAUUUAUUAAAAGUAUAAA